This 462-nucleotide ribosomal RNA is filed under the name uncultured bacterium. Its description in RNAcentral is "bacterial SSU rRNA". It matches the Rfam family "Bacterial small subunit ribosomal RNA", at positions 339 to 794 of the family's 1533-position model. The record is from RNAcentral.
GUACGGGAGGCAGCAGUCGAGAAUUUUUGACAAUGGGGGAAACCCUGAUCGAGCGACGCCGCGUGGAGGAUGAAGGUCUUCGGAUUGUAAACUCCUGUCAUUGGGGAACAAGAUGCAUACGUUAACUGCGUGUGUAUUGAUAGUACCCGAAGAGGAAGAGACGGCUAACUCUGUGCCAGCAGCCGCGGUAAUACAGAGGUCUCAAGCGUUGUUCGGAUUCAUUGGGCGUAAAGGGUGCGUAGGCGGCGCGGUAAGUCGGGUGUGAAAUCUCGGAGCUUAACUCCGAAACUGCAUUCGAUACUGCCGUGCUUGAGGACUGGAGAGGAGACUGGAAUUUACGGUGUAGCGGUGAAAUGCGUAGAUAUCGUAAGGAAGACCAGUGGCGAAGGCGGGUCUCUGGACAGUUCCUGACGCUGAGGCACGAAGGUCAGGGGAGCAAACGGGCUUAGAUACCCUGGUAGA